This 468-nucleotide ribosomal RNA is filed under the name uncultured bacterium. Its description in RNAcentral is "partial 16S ribosomal RNA". It matches the Rfam family "Bacterial small subunit ribosomal RNA", at positions 28 to 507 of the family's 1533-position model. The record is from RNAcentral.
GACGAACGCUGGCGGCGUGCUUAACACAUGCAAGUCGAACGGAAAGGCCCUGCUUUUGUGGGGUGCUCGAGUGGCGAACGGGUGAGUAACACGUUAGUAACCUGCCCUUGACUUUGGGAUAACUUCAGGAAACUUGGGCUAAUACCGGAUAGGAGCUCCUGCUGCAUGGUGGGGGUUGGAAAGUUUCGGCGGUUGGGGAUGGACUCGCGGCUUAUCAGCUUGUUGGUGGGGUAGUGGCUUACCAAGGCUUUGACGGGUAGCCGGCCUGAGAGGGUGACCGGCCACAUUGGGACUGAGAUACGGCCCAGACUCCUACGGGAGGCAGCAGUGGGGAAUAUUGCACAAUGGGCGGAAGCCUGAUGCAGCAACGCCGCGUGCGGGAUGACGGCCUUCGGGUUGUAAACCGCUUUCGCCUGUGACGAAGCGUGAGUGACGGUAAUGGGUAAAGAAGCACCGGCUAACUACGUG